UUCUGUCGGCAGGUCACUCGCUGAUAUGAAUUCUUCCACUUCAACUGGUUCAGUAUUCUUCAUUGCUUCUGGGUCUGGCUCUUGUGCUCGUGGAAUAUCAACUGUCGCCUUGGUUGCUAUUACAUGCUCUUCAGGAGCUGCCUCGUCUGCAGGAGCAACAUUGCUUGUCACAUCCUCAGUGAGCUCGCUGAUGUUUGCAUCAGGGCUCUCAUUGAUUGCUUCAGUUUCCUUCACCUCUUCUGCUUGCAUGUCACUUGCUGAUCUAUUCUCUUCCACCUCAACAGGUUCAGUAUUUUUUAUCUCUUCUAGUUCCGGCUCCUGUGCUUGUGGCAUGUCAACUGUUCUCUCAGCUACUGUUACCUGCUCUGCAUGAGGUUCCUCGUCUGCAAGUGCAACAUUGCUUUUCACAUCCUCAUUGAGCUCGCGGAUGUUUGCAUCAGUCCUUUCGCUGAUUGCUUCAGUUUCCUUGGGUUCAGUGUCCUUCACCUCUUCUGCCGGCAUGUCACUAGCUGAUGCAUUUUCUUCCACCUCAACAGGUUCAACAUUCUUGAUCUCUUCUAGUUCUGGCUCUUGUGCUCGUGGAAUAUCAACUGUUGCCUCAGUUGCUGUUACAUGCUCUUCAGGAGCUGCCUCGUCUGCAGGAGUAACAUUGCUUGUCACAUCCCCGGUGAGCUCGCUGAUGUUUGCAUCAGUGCUCUCGUUAAUUGCUUCAGUUUCCUUGGCUUCAAUUUCCUUCACCUCUUCCGCUGGCAGGUCACCUGCUGAUCUGUUUUCUUCCACCUCGUCAGGUUCGACAUUCUCGAGCUCUUGUAGUUCUGACACUUGUGCUUGUGGUAUAUCAACUGCUGCCUCAGCUGCUACUACAUGCUCUUCUGGAGCUGCCUCAUCUGCACGAGUAACAUUACUUUUCACAUCCUCAGUGAGUUCACUGAUGUUUGCAUCAGUGCUUUCGGUUAUUGCUUCUGUUUCUUUGGCUUCAGCGUCCUUCACCUCUUCUGCCGGCAGGUCACUUGCUGAUAUGUUUUCUUCCACUUCAACAGGUUCAGUAUUCUUGAUUUCUUCUAGUUCUGGAUCUUGUGCUUGUGGUAUGUCAACUGUUGCCUCAGUUGCUAUCACAUGCUCUUCAGGAUCUGCCUCGUCAACAUUAGUUUUGACAUCCUCAGUGAGCUCACUGAUGUUCUCAUCAGUGCUCUCAUUGAUUGCUUCAGAGUUCUUCACCUCUUCUGUCUGCAUGUCACUUGCUGACAUGUUUUCUUCCACCUCAACAGGUUCAGUAUUCUUGAUCUCUUCUAGUUCCAGCUCCUGUGCUUGUGGUAUGUUAACUGUUGCCUCAGUUGCUAUUACAUGUUCUUCAGGAGCUGCCUCGUCUGCAAGCGCAACAUUAGUUUUGACAUCCUCACUGAGCUCACUGAUGUUCGCAUCAGUGCUCUCGUUGAUUGCUUCAGUGUCCUUCACCUCUUCUGCCUGCAUGUCACUUGCUGACAUCUUUUCUUCCACUUCAACAGGUUCAGUAUUCUUUAUCUCUUCUACUUCUGGCUCUUGUACUUGUGGCAUAUCAACUGUAUCAUCAGCUACUGUUAUAUGUUCUUCAGGAGCUGCCUCAUCUGCAAGAGCAACAUUGUUUUUCACAUCUUCAGUGAGCUCAGUGUUGUUUGCAUCAGUGUUCUCAUUGAUUGCUUCAGUCUCUAUGGCUUCAGUAUCCUUCACCUCUUCUGCUGGCAGAUAAUUUGCUGAUAUGUUUUCUUCCACUUCAGCAGGCUCAGUACUCUUGGUCUCUUCUAGUUCUGGCCCUUGUGCUUCUGGUAUGUCAACUGUUGCCUCAGUUGCUAUUACAUGCUCUUCAGGAGCUGCCUCGUCUGCAGGAACAACAUUGCUUGUCACAUCCUCAGGUAGCUCACUGGUGUUUGCAACAGUUCUCUCGUUGAUUGCUUCAGUUUCCUUCACCUCUUCUGCUUGCAGGUCACUUGCUGAUCUAUUUUCUUCCACCUCAACAGGUUCAGUAUUCUCGAUCUCUUCUAGUUCCGGCUCCUGUGCUUGUGGUAUGUCAACUGUUCUCUCAGUUACUGUUACCUGCUCUGCAUGAGGUUCCUCGUCUGCAAGUGCAACAUUGCUUUUCACAUCCUCAUUGAGCUCGCUGAUGUUUGCAUCAGUCCUUUCGCUGAUUGCUUCAGUUUCCUUGGGUUCAAUUUCCUUGACCUCUUCUGCUGACAGGUCACCUGCUUCAGUAUUCUUGAUCUUUUCUAGCUCCGGCUCUUGUGCUUGUGGUAUAUCGGCUGUUGUCUCGGCUACUGUUACAUGUUCUUCAUGAGCUGCCUCAUCUAUAAGAGCAACGUUGCUUUUCAUAUCUUCAGUAAGCUCACUGAUGUUUGCAUCACUGCUCUCGUUGAUUGCAUCAGUUUCCUUGGCUUCAGUGUCCUUCACCUCUUCUGCCAGCAUGUCAUUAGCUGAUGCGUUUUCUUCCACCUCAACAGGUUCAACAUUCUCAAUCUCUUCUAGGUCUGGCUCUUGUGCUCGUGGAAUAUCAACUGUUGCCUCAGUUGCUGUUACAUGCUCUUCAGGAGCUGCCUCGUCUGCAGGAGUAACAUUGCUUGUCACAUUCCCGGUGAGCUCGCUGAUGUUUGCAUCAGUGCUCUCGUUAAUUGCUUCAGUUUCCUUGGCUUCAAUUUCCUUCACCUCUUCUGCUGGCAGGUCACCUGUUGAUCUGUUUUCUUCUACCUCGUCAGGUUCAACAUUCUCGAGCUCUUGUAGUUCUGACACUUGUGCUUGUGGUAUAUCAACUGCUGCCUCAGCUGCUGUUACAUGCUCUUCUGGAGCUGCCUCAUCUGCACGAGUAACAGUACUUUUCACAUCCUCAGUGAGUUCACUGAUGUUUGCAUCAGUGCUCUCAGUUAUUGCUUCUGUUUCUUUGGCUUCAGCGUCCUUCACCUCUUCUGCCGGCAG
Molecule: long non-coding RNA, 2940 nt
Filed under: Triticum aestivum (bread wheat)
Lineage: Eukaryota; Viridiplantae; Streptophyta; Magnoliopsida; Poales; Poaceae
Description: long non-coding RNA (TAES_LNC011445)
Source: RNAcentral